AUGAACGCUGGCGGCGUGCUUAACUCAUGCAAGUCGAACGGUGAACACGGAGCUUGCUCUGUGGGAUCAGUGGCGAACGGGUGAGUAACACGUGAGCAACCUGCCCCUGACUCUGGGAUAAGCGCUGGAAACGGCGUCUAAUACUGGAUAUGUGACGUGACCGCAUGGUCUGCGUUUGGAAAGAUUUUUCGGUUGGGGAUGGGCUCGCGGCCUAUCAGCUUGUUGGUGAGGUAAUGGCUCACCAAGGCGUCGACGGGUAGCCGGCCUGAGAGGGUGACCGGCCACACUGGGACUGAGACACGGCCCAGACUCCUACGGGAGGCAGCAGUGGGGAAUAUUGCACAAUGGGCGCAAGCCUGAUGCAGCAACGCCGCGUGAGGGAUGACGGCCUUCGGGUUGUAAACCUCUUUUAGCAGGGAAGAAGCGAAAGUGACGGUACCUUCAGAAAAAGCGCCGGCUAACUACGUG
This 468-nucleotide ribosomal RNA is filed under the name uncultured bacterium. Its description in RNAcentral is "partial 16S ribosomal RNA". It matches the Rfam family "Bacterial small subunit ribosomal RNA", at positions 29 to 507 of the family's 1533-position model. The record is from RNAcentral.